GUCUAGAGGCCUAGGACACCGCCCUUUCACGGCGGCAACACGGGUUCGAAUCCCGUACGGGACGCCA
Molecule: transfer RNA, 67 nt
Filed under: Acetobacter indonesiensis
Lineage: Bacteria; Pseudomonadati; Pseudomonadota; Alphaproteobacteria; Acetobacterales; Acetobacteraceae
Description: tRNA-Glu
Rfam family: tRNA
About the family: Transfer RNA (tRNA) molecules are approximately 80 nucleotides in length.
Source: RNAcentral